Molecule: transfer RNA, 84 nt
Filed under: Thermodesulfobacteriota bacterium
Lineage: Bacteria; Pseudomonadati; Thermodesulfobacteriota
Description: Thermodesulfobacteria bacterium tRNA-Ser
Rfam family: tRNA
About the family: Transfer RNA (tRNA) molecules are approximately 80 nucleotides in length. Their secondary structure includes four short double-helical elements and three loops (D, anti-codon, and T loops). Further hydrogen bonds mediate the characteristic L-shaped molecular structure. tRNAs have two regions of fundamental functional importance: the anti-codon, which is responsible for specific mRNA codon recognition, and the 3' end, to which the tRNAs corresponding amino acid is attached (by aminoacyl-tRNA synthetases). tRNAs cope with the degeneracy of the genetic code in two manners: having more than one tRNA (with a specific anti-codon) for a particular amino acid; and 'wobble' base-pairing, i.e. permitting non-standard base-pairing at the 3rd anti-codon position.
Source: RNAcentral
GCCGAGGUGGCACAACCUGGUACUGCGCAGGCCUGCUAAGCCUGUUUCCUUCGGGAUAUCCGGGUUCAAAUCCCGGCCUCGGCG